CCGCCCGUAGCUCAGCUGGUAGAGCAGCUCGCUUUUAACGAGAAGGUCGCAGGAUCAUCCCCUGCCGGGCGGA
Molecule: transfer RNA, 73 nt
Rfam family: tRNA
About the family: Transfer RNA (tRNA) molecules are approximately 80 nucleotides in length. Their secondary structure includes four short double-helical elements and three loops (D, anti-codon, and T loops).